AUGAAACACUCCAUCUUGCGGAAGAGACUGCUAAUGGUCCAAAUGGUGAUAAUCACGACUAUGAAACAAUCGCUGACUUGGAAGAGACUGCAAAUUGUGAAAAUGAAGCAGAUAAAGUUCAUGAAGCCACAUACUCUCUUACCGACCUUAAAAAUUCCAGAAAGAACACAAGGAAGCAUCAUAAACCACAUGAGAGUCCUCUUUCCACUGAUGUGAACAUGGAAAAUCCAGGUCAGUGAAGAGAGCAAGAGUAGCAAAGCCAAAGAGAAGCAUAGUAUAAUCAUACUAUAAUGUUUAGAGCAUAUGCAUGCUGUAUAUGUUCCCUACAUCCUCUGAGUGAGACACUCUUGAUAAAACUUUGCAUAAGCAUUGCAUAGGGCACUGUGAGUGACCCAUGCAUAUGUAAAUAUUUGAAGUCUCAGAAUCGUAUAUAAUUGUAUAUUUGACAGUUCAAUUGGAAUAAUGGAAUAUCAGAAUAGAGUGGCGUGUCUAAUUUAAUGUAUUUUAGCAUCAUAUUAUAGCAUAUAUCAUAGCAUCUCAUAUGUGGUAGCAUAUACAGAUUUGUAUUCCCUGUCUCCCAUGGUAAUUGCAGUGUGCUGGGAUUUGCUUGUAUGUAAUGAUAUAGACACAAUAUUCUGUUUUGUUGUUGUUUUGAGGGGUUUUUUGUAUUAUCUGGUUUAACUGACA
Molecule: long non-coding RNA, 687 nt
Organism: Astatotilapia calliptera (eastern happy)
Lineage: Eukaryota; Metazoa; Chordata; Actinopteri; Cichliformes; Cichlidae
Source: Ensembl